UAACGCGUGGGAAUCUGCCUUGGUGUGGGGGAUAACCCGGCGAAAGCCGGGCUAAUACCGCAUACGUCCUUCGGGAGAAAGAUUUAUCGCUCUAGGAGGGGCCCGCGUCGGAUUAGCUAGUUGGGGAGGUAACGGCUCACCAAGGGGACGAUCCGUAGCUGGUCUGAGAGGAUGAUCAGCCACACUGGGACUGGGACACGGCCCAGACUCCUACGGGAGGGAGCAGUGGGGAAUAUUGGACAAUGGGGGCAACCCUGAUCCAGCAAUGCCGCGUGAGUGGUGAAGGCCUUAGGGUUGU
Molecule: ribosomal RNA, 298 nt
Filed under: uncultured Sphingomonadaceae bacterium
Lineage: Bacteria; Pseudomonadati; Pseudomonadota; Alphaproteobacteria; Sphingomonadales; Sphingomonadaceae
Description: partial 16S ribosomal RNA
Rfam family: Bacterial small subunit ribosomal RNA
Source: RNAcentral